GAUGAACGCUAGCUACAGGCUUAACACAUGCAAGUCGAGGGGAGACGACAUCGAAAGCUUGCUUUUGAUGGGCGUCGACCGGCGCACGGGUGAGUAACGCGUAUCCAACCUGCCCACCACUUGGGGAUAACCUUGCGAAAGUAAGACUAAUACCCAAUGAUAUCUCUAGAAGACAUCUGAAAGGGAUUAAAGAUUUAUCGGUGAUGGAUGGGGAUGCGUCUGAUUAGCUUGUUGGCGGGGUAACGGCCCACCAAGGCGACGAUCAGUAGGGGUUCGGAGCGGAAGGGCCCCCACGUUGGGACUGAGACCGGGUCCAAACGUCUACGGGAGGCAGCAGUGAGGAAUAUUGGUCAAUGGGCGAGAGGCUGAACCAGCCAAUUAGCAUGCAGGAUGACGGCCCUAUGGGUUGUAAACUGCUUUUAUAAGGGAAUAAAGUGAGCCUCGUGAGGCUUUUUGCCUGUACCUUAUGAAUAAGGACCGGCUAAUUCCGUGCCAGCCGCCGCCGUAA
RNAcentral lists this ribosomal RNA (508 nucleotides) under uncultured bacterium. RNAcentral describes it as "partial 16S ribosomal RNA". It matches the Rfam family "Bacterial small subunit ribosomal RNA", at positions 28 to 523 of the family's 1533-position model. The record is from RNAcentral.